Molecule: ribosomal RNA, 275 nt
Filed under: uncultured bacterium
Lineage: Bacteria
Description: partial 16S ribosomal RNA
Rfam family: Bacterial small subunit ribosomal RNA
Source: RNAcentral
CACGUAGGGCGGCAAGCGUUGUCCGGAAUUUAUUGGGGCGUAAAGAGCUCGUAGGCGGUCUGUUGCGUCCGCCUGUAGGAAAACUCGGGGCCUUAACCCCGAGCCUGCAGUGGAUACGGGCAGACUAGAGGUAGGUAGGGGAGAAUGGAAUUCCCGGUGUAGCGGUGAAAUGCGCAGAUAUCGGGAGGAACACCGGUGGCGAAGGCGGUCUAGCUGGGCCUUACCUGACGCUGAGAGCGAAGCGUGGGGAGCGAACGGAAUAGAGUACCCGGUAG